This 1059-nucleotide long non-coding RNA is filed under the name Phaseolus vulgaris (common bean). Its description in RNAcentral is "long non-coding RNA (PVUL_LNC003423)". The record is from RNAcentral. Lineage: Eukaryota; Viridiplantae; Streptophyta; Magnoliopsida; Fabales; Fabaceae.
UUUUAUAUUCUUGAUUCCUGCUGGGUUUUUAGUAUCAAUUAGUGCUGAUGAUCUUUAUUAUGUCAUGGUAUCAAGAAUAAAGGGGCUGCUUUUACAUAUUCUACUUGGUGUAAGUAAGAAGGGGUUCUAUCCUCUUUAUGACAGUUCCACGAAGGUGAAAACUCAUGAGAUUAUAUUUUUUUUCCCUUUUUAAUUUACAUCUCUCUUCAUUACUGAUCAUAAAAGUUGUAGUGUAUAUUUGGUUCCAUGUUAGAUGAAGUAAAACAUAGAUUUAUGAUCCAUAUUUAAGUUGUUAUACUUUAAUCCAACACCAUGUUCUUGUUUUACUCUUAACUAUGUCAUACAUCAACCGAUGCAUAAUUUAAAGACUCAUAAUUUUGCUAUAUAUGUGUAGUCUAUAAUGUUCUUGUAUGACUCUGAAUAUGUUUAGAUAUUUUAUUAAAAGAAUUUCGUAUUUAAAAUAGACUUAUUAAAAAAUAUCUUUUGUCAUUUAUCCCAUCUGUAGUAGUUUUAUCUUCUUUAAAUAAUUUUGUAUAUGAUGAAUUAUACCAGUUAUAAAAAAUGUUGUGUUUCUAGCGGUGGGAUCUGUUUUUCAUUAUUAUCUUUCUAGCAUUGUAGGGCAAAAGACUGUUGACAAAGAGUUACAGAUCCCACUGGCACCACCAAAAAAAACAUGCCAGACUUGACUUCUACAACUAGGAGAAAGCCUAUGCAGACCAUAGGCCAAUCAUGAGCAAAAAUUGCAGGCAAGUUGAAACAUAAAUAUAUUCUCAAAUUUGUUGUUCGAUGAAGAGACCUAAUUUUUUCUAGGCUUUUUGUGCAGAUCAUCAGCUUCAUAUAUUAAGACUUUUUUCUCCCUUCUUAAGGCUUGAUUCGUUGUUGAUUGAUAUGUCAAUUAGUGCUAAGCUUUAUUACUUCAUGGUAUAAAGCAUAAAGGAGCUUGCUUUAAAUAUUUUAGUUUAUGUUAAUAUGAAGGGUUCUAUAUGCUUUUGUUUGAUUGUAUAUGCAAUUGAAAAAAACUAUAGAUAUUAUGCUUGGUCAAUUAUGCAUAGGAUUUUG